CAAAUGCCCCAAGCGCAAUGUUAGCGUUUGCAAGAUGGUUCAAAGAAACUUUCCAGAGCACUUCAUCAACAUCAAUAUCCAUUCGUGAUUUGUUAGCAUGGGUUGGUUUUGUAAACCAAUGCAAAGAUCUCGAUCAAGCUGCUGCGGUGGUCCAUGGGGCGGCUCUGGUGUAUAUAGAUACCCUGGGUGCCAACCCUUCUGCCAUGUUUGUUUCAGGUCCGGCAAAUCUCAAACACGAUCGACUUAAAUGUCUUGAGAGAUUGGGUGAAAUUUUUGGUUUUGACGCUGUCUCUAUCUAUUACCAAGCAACUACUAUAUCUAUGGAA
This 326-nucleotide small RNA is filed under the name Histoplasma capsulatum. RNAcentral describes it as "hypothetical RNA". The record is from RNAcentral. RNAcentral also lists the same sequence under 1 other name. Lineage: Eukaryota; Fungi; Ascomycota; Eurotiomycetes; Onygenales; Ajellomycetaceae.